Molecule: ribosomal RNA, 468 nt
Filed under: uncultured bacterium
Lineage: Bacteria
Description: partial 16S ribosomal RNA
Rfam family: Bacterial small subunit ribosomal RNA
Source: RNAcentral
GAUGAACGCUGGCGGCGUGCUUAACACAUGCAAGUCGAACGGAAAGGCCCAAGCUUGCUUGGGUACUCGAGUGGCGAACGGGUGAGUAACACGUGGGUGAUCUGCCCUGCACUUCGGGAUAAGCCUGGGAAACUGGGUCUAAUACCGGAUAGGACGAUGGUUUGGAUGCCAUUGUGGAAAGUUUUUUCGGUGUUGGAUGAGCUCGCGGCCUAUCAGCUUGUUGGUGGGGUAAUGGCCUACCAAGGCGUCGACGGGUAGCCGGCCUGAGAGGGUGUACGGCGACAUUGGGACUGAGAUGCGGCCCAGACUCCUACGGGAGGCGGCAGUGGGGAAGAUUGCACAAUGGGCGCAAGCCUGAUGCAGCGACGCCGCGUGGGGGGUGACGGCCUUCGGGUUGUAAACUCCUUUCGCUAGGGACGAAGCGUUUUUGUGACGGUACCUGGAGAAGAAGCACCGGCUAACUACGUG